CAGAGGGGGCAAGCGUUAUUCGGAAUUAUUGGGCGUAAAGGGCGCGUAGGCGGCUUGGCAAGUGGAAGGUGAAAUCCCUCGGCUUAACCGAGGAACUGCCCUCCAAACUGCUUUGCUUGAGGCCGGGAGAGGCGAGUGGAAUUCCCAGUGUAGCGGUGAAACGCGUAGAUAUUGGGAGGAACACCAGUGGCGAAGGCGGCUCGCUGGACCGGUUCUGACGCUGAGGCGCGAAAGCGUGGAGAGCAAACGGGAUUAGAUACCCCGGUAGUCCACGCUGUAAACGAUGAGUGCUUGGUGUAGCGGGUAUCGACCCCUGCUGUGCCGAAGUCAACACAUUAAGCACUCCGCCUGGGGAGUACGGUCGCAAGGCUG
This 372-nucleotide ribosomal RNA is filed under the name uncultured organism. RNAcentral describes it as "bacterial SSU rRNA". It matches the Rfam family "Bacterial small subunit ribosomal RNA", at positions 526 to 896 of the family's 1533-position model. The record is from RNAcentral.